RNAcentral lists this ribosomal RNA (468 nucleotides) under uncultured bacterium. RNAcentral describes it as "partial 16S ribosomal RNA". It matches the Rfam family "Bacterial small subunit ribosomal RNA", at positions 28 to 507 of the family's 1533-position model. The record is from RNAcentral.
GACGAACGCUGGCGGCGUGCUUAACACAUGCAAGUCGAACGGAAAGGCCCUGCUUUUGUGGGGUUCUCGAGUGGCGAACGGGUGAGUAACACGUGAGUAACCUGCCCUUGACUUUGGGAUAACUUCAGGAAACUGGGGCUAAUACCGGAUAUGAGCUCCUGCUGCAUGGUGGUGGUUGGAAAGUUUCGGCGGUUGGGGAUGGACUCGCGGCUUAUCAGCUUGUUGGUGGGGUAGUGGCUUACCAAGGCUUUGACGGGUAGCCGGCCUGAGAGGGUGACCGGCGACAUGGGGACUGAGAUACGGCCCAGACUCCUACGGGAGGCAGCAGUGGGGAAUAUUGCACAAUGGGCGGAAGUCUGAUGCAGCAACGCCGCGUGCGGGAUGACGGCCUUCGGGUUGUAAACCGCUUUCGCCUGUGACGAAGCGUGAGUGACGGUAAUGGGUAAAGAAGCACCGGCUAACUACGUG